RNAcentral lists this transfer RNA (87 nucleotides) under bacterium. RNAcentral's name for it is "tRNA-Leu". It matches the Rfam family "tRNA". From Rfam's summary of the family: Transfer RNA (tRNA) molecules are approximately 80 nucleotides in length. Their secondary structure includes four short double-helical elements and three loops (D, anti-codon, and T loops). The record is from RNAcentral.
GCCGCCGUGCUGGAAUUGGUAGACAGGCUGGAUUCAGGAUCCAGUGUGGGCAACUACGUGAGAGUUCGAGUCUCUCCGGCGGCACCA